UACGUAGGGUGCAAGCGUUGUCCGGAAUUAUUGGGCGUAAAGAGCUCGUAGGCGGUUUGUCGCGUCUGCUGUGAAAACUCGGGGCUUAACUCCGGGCCUGCAGUGGGUACGGGCAGACUAGAGUGCGGUAGGGGAGACUGGAAUUCCUGGUGUAGCGGUGAAAUGCGCAGAUAUCAGGAGGAACACCGUAGCGAAGGCGGGCACUCGGUCGGCAAUACUGACUGAGGAGCGAAAGCGUGGGGAGCGAACAGG
RNAcentral lists this ribosomal RNA (252 nucleotides) under uncultured bacterium. RNAcentral's name for it is "partial 16S ribosomal RNA". It matches the Rfam family "Bacterial small subunit ribosomal RNA", at positions 524 to 776 of the family's 1533-position model. The record is from RNAcentral.